GAACGCUGGCGGUAGGCCUAACACAUGCAAGUCGAACGGCAGCACAGUAAGAGCUUGCUCUUACGGGUGGCGAGUGGCGGACGGGUGAGGAAUACAUCGGAAUCUACUUUUUCGUGGGGGAUAACGUAGGGAAACUUACGCUAAUACCGCAUACGACCUACGGGUGAAAGCAGGGGAUCUUCGGACCUUGCGCGAUUGAAUGAGCCGAUGUCGGAUUAGCUAGUUGGCGGGGUAAAGGCCCACCAAGGCGACGAUCCGUAGCUGGUCUGAGAGGAUGAUCAGCCACACUGGAACUGAGACACGGUCCAGACUCCUACGGGAGGCAGCAGUGGGGAAUAUUGGACAAUGGGCGCAAGCCUGAUCCAGCCAUACCGCGUGGGUGAAGAAGGCCUUCGGGUUGUAAAGCCCUUUUGUUGGGAAAGAAAAGCAGCAGGUUAAUACCCCGCUGUUCUGACGGUACCCAAAGAAUAAGCACCGGCUAACUUCGU
RNAcentral lists this ribosomal RNA (488 nucleotides) under uncultured bacterium. Its description in RNAcentral is "partial 16S ribosomal RNA". It matches the Rfam family "Bacterial small subunit ribosomal RNA", at positions 31 to 506 of the family's 1533-position model. The record is from RNAcentral.